GAUGAACGCUGGCGGCGUGCCUAAUACAUGCAAGUCGAGCGAACGGACGAGAAGCUUGCUUCUCUGCUGUUAGCGGCGGACGGGUGAGUAACACGUGGAUAACCUACCUAUAAGACUGGGAUAACUUCGGGAAACCGGAGCUAAUACCGGAUAAUAUUUUGAACCGCAUGGUUCAAAAGUGAAAGACGGUCUUGCUGUCACUUAUAGAUGGAUCCGCGCUGCAUUAGCUAGUUGGUAAGGUAACGGCUUACCAAGGCAACGAUGCAUAGCCGACCUGAGAGGGUGAUCGGCCACACUGGAACUGAGACACGGUCCAGACUCCUACGGGAGGCAGCAGUAGGGAAUCUUCCGCAAUGGGCGAAAGCCUGACGCAGCAACGCCGCGUGAGUGAUGAAGGUCUUCGGAUCGUAAAACUCUGUUAUUAGGGAAGAACAUAUGUGUAAGUAACUGUGCACGUCUUGACGGUACCUAAUCAGAAAGCAACGGCUAACUACGUG
RNAcentral lists this ribosomal RNA (497 nucleotides) under uncultured bacterium. RNAcentral's name for it is "partial 16S ribosomal RNA". It matches the Rfam family "Bacterial small subunit ribosomal RNA", at positions 28 to 507 of the family's 1533-position model. The record is from RNAcentral.